CGGCAACAGCUCAAAUUUGAAAUCUGGCCCUCGUGGUCCGAGUUGUAAUUUGUAGAGGAUGCUUUUGGUGCGGUGCCUUCCGAGUUCCCUGGAACGGGACGCCAUAGAGGGUGAGAGCCCCGUCUGGUUGGACACCUAUCCUCUGUAAAGCUCCUUCGACGAGUCGAGUAGUUUGGGAAUGCUGCUCUAAAUGGGAGGUAAAUGUCUUCUAAAGCUAAAUACCGGCCAGAGACCGAUAGCGCACAAGUAGAGUGAUCGAAAGAUGAAAAGCACUUUGAAAAGAGGGUUAAAUAGUACGUGAAAUUGUUGAAAGGGAAGCGUUUGUGACCAGACUUGGGCUUGGUUAAUCAUCCAGCGUUCUCGCUGGUGCACUUUGCCAGCCCAGGCCAGCAUCAGUUUGCCGCGGGGGAUAAAAGCUUCGGGAAUGUGGCUCUUCGGAGUGUUAUAGCCCGCUGCAUAAUACCCUGUGGCGGACUGAGGUUCGCGCAUCUGCAAGGAUGCUGGCGUAAUGGUCAUCAACGACCCGUCUUGAAACACGGACCAAGGAGUCGUCUUCGUAUGCGAGUGUUCGGGUGUCAAACCCCUACGCGUAAUGAAAGUGAACGGAGGUGGGAGCCUCGGCGCACCAUCGACCGAUCCUGAAGUUUACGGAUGGAUUUGAGUAAGAGCAUACGGGGCCGGACCCGAAAGAAGGUGAACUAUGCCUGUAUAGGGUGAAGCCAGAGGAAACUCUGGUGGAGGCUCGCAGCGGUUCUGACGUGCAAAUCGAUCGUCAAAUAUGGGCAUGGGGGCGAA
RNAcentral lists this ribosomal RNA (795 nucleotides) under Nectria balsamea. RNAcentral's name for it is "eukaryotic LSU rRNA". It matches the Rfam family "Eukaryotic large subunit ribosomal RNA", at positions 99 to 927 of the family's 3401-position model. Lineage: Eukaryota; Fungi; Ascomycota; Sordariomycetes; Hypocreales; Nectriaceae. The record is from RNAcentral.